UUUUAGUCCGUGUCUUUGACGAAAUAGACUUUUUAACGGGGGAUUUACGGACAAUAUUAUAUCAUAUCAUGUCGUGCAGUAAAUCUUUGAAGGCUACAGAUCUCCAUUCGUCCUGGAAAGUCGAGUUUGACUGGAAGGAUUUUCCGGAAGAACUUGUUCAGGGAUGUUGUGCUGUUGCAUCUGUUUUGUGCGUGCCAACGGUGGCUGUUUUAUAUAGCCUUAUCACGGUCGCGGCUUUUGCUGUAAGCCAUGCACAAGUCUCUCCACCUGACACCAAAUGGAGGGAAAAUGUUCUUCUGUGGACAGCCAUCUGUCUGCCAACAGGCGCUGGGAAAUCUACUAUCUGUAAAUGGAUUCAAGAACUUGUGACUGAUGUUUACACGAAGUUGCGGAAAGACCAUACGGACAGUGGUAGUCCGUCUGCUGGGUUUACUUAUGUACUAAAUGGUGGAAGUACUUCAAUUAAUUGUUAAAUUACAAGGAAUAACAUAACAACUACUACUUCUUAUGAUACAAAGUAGUGAAAGAUGACUGCAAUACAUGUAGUUUAUAAAUAGAUAGGGGAGAUGUUUUCAGGUACUUGUAUUUAGAAGUGACGUAAAAAAAGGGAAAUAUAAUAU
This is a long non-coding RNA of Branchiostoma floridae (Florida lancelet), 620 nucleotides long. RefSeq lists it as uncharacterized. The transcript is spliced from 3 exons. The record is from RefSeq and is a predicted model, not a curated record. NCBI's taxonomy places the organism in Eukaryota, Metazoa, Chordata, Leptocardii, Amphioxiformes, Branchiostomatidae.